Molecule: ribosomal RNA, 253 nt
Filed under: uncultured bacterium
Lineage: Bacteria
Description: partial 16S ribosomal RNA
Rfam family: Bacterial small subunit ribosomal RNA
Source: RNAcentral
UACGGGGGGGGCAAGCGUUGUUCGGAAUUACUGGGCGUAAAGGGUGCGUAGGCGGCGCGGUAAGUCGGGUGUGAAAUCUCGGGGCUUAACUCCGAAACUGCAUUCGAUACUGCCGUGCUUGAGGACUGGAGAGGAGACUGGAAUUUACGGUGUAGCGGUGAAAUGCGUAGAUAUCGUAAGGAAGACCAGUGGCGAAGGCGGGUCUCUGGACAGUUCCUGACGCUGAGGCACGAAGGCCAGGGGAGCAAACGGG